GCUGCACCCAACGGCCGCGUGGUGGGGAAGAUGGGAGGGGAUGGGGGUAGGCCGCCGAGCAUCUCCUGCCCCAGAAUCUGGCACGCUGACGGGGACCUAGGGACAGACGACCGCACAACACGCCACGUUGCAGGCGCUGCCAGGCCGGGUGCCUCACCUAGCUCCUUCAUGUAUUCAUCAAAGCCUUUGCUGUCCACCAGGCGCCAUCUUCCUUCCAGCUGCUGAACUGUGGCCAUGGGUACGCGACGGCCUCUCGGGCGCCUCCUGCAAGCAGGGACUCGCCCGGCGCGCCCCACGCCUCAUGGACGCCGGCGCCUGCACGUUUCGGCGCCUCUGCAGGCCCAGGAAGCCAGAGGGGUCACCUGGAGGCCUGGCCCCGCCUCUCCUGCACCCCUCCGUUUGACAACAUAUCCACCGCCGUUUUUCCUUUCAAAAUACCCGGACCAAUCGAUUAGCCCUCGCCGGACUCGGACUGCAGGAAGUGAUUGAUCGGCUGUUUGGUUUAUUGAUUCAUUAACUACGGUGCCUCCCUGACCUUCUGCUCCUCGCCAGCGCACAAGCUCACAAUCCACACCCUCCUAAGAGAACCUGCUCUCGCCAUCCGCAGGUCUCCCUGGCCCAAUAGUGGGGAUAUACCUGAGUUGAGCUAGAGGAUUUUAUCCCUGUUGGGAUGGGGGACGUCUCGGGAAGUGUGGUUUCUAAACUAAAAGACUGCAGGAAGUGUCAACUUUAGUGACUGUCAUUGCCAUUCAAGAAUGUUUGAUUAGUUUAUAUUCCCUUCGUAGUGCACCCUUCACCGUUUCUUCUCAGACACCAGCGGGUUUCUUCUCAGACACCAGCGGGUUCCCUCUUUCUCUUGAACUAUAAUAAUACCCUACACAUGUGCGUAGAACAUGAUACGUUUCAAAGUGUACUCUUCACAAUUUAUUACUUGGUGCUCCCGGGUGCCUGUUGGAAGUCAGAUGGACUGAGGUGAGGAAGUUGCCACACAGGCUGGCCGUUUCGAUAGCGGUAAUGUGCAUUUAUUGAGUAGCUACUAAGUGCUAGAUGUGCUUCCUGGGCACUUUAUAGACAUUGGUCUCCACUAUAUUUUUGCUAGGGGUGUUAUCCCAAUUUUUCAAAAGAGAAAAUAGGGCAAAGAUAGUUCUCACAGUGGUAGAACCAGAAUCCCCAUCCAGGUCCGUCUCACUGAAGACCUUAUGAAAUCAGACCACACCUGACUGCCUUGGGCUCAGGGUAGCUGUGAUGGAGCUCUGAGUAGACCACAGUCACCGAGACACUACUAGUUCUUGUAUCAUCCUUGACAAAAUUGAAAUCUGAGGUUGGUUUGCUAUCUCCCAACAUGCUGCAGGACAUGUACUCCCCUGAACUGCAUCCCUUUCAUUUCAAGUCCCUGCCCUCAGUUUAGGGUCACACCAGUCUUCCUUGUGGUACCAUUUAACACUCAAUUGUUUUCCCAAUAAGGGUCUGCAUGUCCCACACCCGAGGCCCUACUGCUCAGAAAAUAUUCGUGUUCUGAGGGAAGCUGAGUGCAUCAUUUACUCAGUGAUGAGAAGCCCUGGCUACCAGGCACUUCAGGCAGCUCCUUAGGGCUGCCUGUGUGUUUGAACUUGAGCUCUUCAUGUGCUAUUUCAACAUGUCUUAUCCAUUUCUGUAUAGACUAUAUGUAGUAAUAAUAGGACGCAGCACUCUGAUACUAAUUUUUAAAUGAUCAUAAUCUAACAUGUUACAGAAAUAUCAAAAAGAUAAUGGCACUGGAGUACUAGAUACUUAGGUACUUAAGAAAUAGCCUUUAAUCCCAAGGCCUUACUUAAAACUUAAGUUUAAACACAAUCUCUGAUGUGAUGAGUGGAAAUAAUUCUUUUGUGUUAAAACAUACAGACAAAACAAAGCUAUAUGGCCAGAAUAAUAACCGUUAUUGUAUCUUGUGGAACAAAAAAGGGCAUGGUGAUUGCUCUGUUCCUCAGGGAAACACAUUGAAUGUCUUGUUUUCAGACACCACAUCUGAUGCAUAUACAGAUGUAUGAUUGGAGUAGAUUAUUUCUAAUGCCCCUUAAGCUCUACUACUCAGAUUCUUUCCUUCUCCAGAGUAAUGGUAAUGGAUUUUAAGCUGUGAAAAAGCAGUUAAGUACUGCCUUCACCCGCUAAGUAAAGGCCUAUUCUAGGCUACUUACCUUGCACCCAUUAUGAGGUGUAAAACCAAAAAUGUUGUGAAAUCAAAUUUCACUGAAGUCUCAUAUAACUUUAUGGAGAUGGUUGAGUAUUUCUUCUUGGAAAGAAGGAGGAGAAUCAUCACUUGAUUGUGAUUAAUUACAACAUAGGAAACAAGAAACAAUAGUUUUAUCCUAACCUGUCCUUACGAACAUUAGUAACUGUGCUGUUCAUUAUUUUUAGUAACAGCACAUAGGUAAUACAGGUGUUAUAUCAUGUUUUCCUUCACACUGGAAGAUAAUAACACAUUAUUCUUAUGGAUGAAAAUGACUGAAGAAUCAAGAAUUACUAGCAACUCUUCUUCCAGUAGCUUAGAAAACUGCCUUUUUCAAGACAGAUGCAAUUUUACUUAAUAUCUCUGAAGCUUAGUUUUAUCAUCUAUGAAUUUAAGGAGAUGAGAAUUAAUACUAAAUGAUUUUUUAGGUCCCCUUCAGUUUAUGAAGUACUCCUGCAGUAGAAGUUCAUGGCCUUGAAAAAGCGUACUCAAAAUUACUCUAUUUCCACCUAGUGGUGAAACCGUAAUAUUUCUCUGAGGCUUUACUUGAUAAACGUGAGUAGUUUUUCAGCUUCUCAUUCUGUAAUCACACACAGCUUUGGAGCAUAUUGUGUCAUUUUUAUUUAAAGACAACUUCCCAGUUAAAGUUUAUGUACAUAGAUGUGCCUUCCACAAAGUUGAUUAUUGUAUAUUAGUUCUUCCUAAGGACAGUUAAGUGUUGGUGGCUUAGCAACAGGCAGUUGGUAGAGAAAUGGAGAGUACUACAUUAAAUUAUUGCAGAGAAUAUUCAAAGUAAUCCAUUUUCAGGGAACUGAGUCUUCUCUAAGUACAUGGCCAGAUGAUCAAAAAAGGAAAAAAAUUAAUCACUAAGGUUGGAGAAUAUGUUUAUUUAAACCUAGUGUCUCCCUUAAAUUUUAUAACUAGAUUUUUGACCCUCACUCAUCUGGCUUUCCUUGCUAUAGACAUGCUUUGCAUACCCAGCUUCUAGCCACAUCUUCCCUAAGAAAAUUUCACCUGGAAUCAGUUCCAAAAGAAAAUCUUAAGAGAUAGAGUAUGGAUCUGCAUGUUGUCAGCUACCUAAAGCAGCAAAAAUUCCUAGAUGAGAAUAAAAUCAGGGAACCUUGCAGUUUAAGGCACACCUUAAAUAUUAAAUUUUUAAUCCUUCAAUGCAUCCAGCCAAAACAAGAAAUUGCAAAUAGCUACCAUCCAUCAAUGCAAGGUUUUUUUGGUUUGUUUUUCAUAAUAAGAUUGGUUUUAAUUAAAGCACUUAUAAAGAUGGAGUUAUAUUUUGAACUUUGUCCUUUUACUUAAAGCAGUUAGAGUCUUACACAUCAUAACUGCCACGGCUAACCAUUAAAAUUUUCCAGCUCCUUAAAUGAUCCAUCAUAAACUUGUGCUUGCUGAGUUAACUGGACUAGAGGAUAGCUGGAGGGAAAAUGAGGCAUUGCAAAAGUUACAGUAAUAAAAAGUGAAUGGCUUCAAAAUAAGGCAGAGGACAUAAUGGCUCAUUUUAUAAUAAAAGCUUUCAGUAUAAAAUUCAUACAUUUCCCUUACUUAUAUAGAUCUUCCUACUUUCCAGACAUGUGUAUUAUUGUAUAUUACAUUUGUCAAUAGCUCAUGGCAACAGAUACACAUAGUUUGGGAUAACCCUUUUAUACCUCAUAUGAGCAGUGUUCAAAGGUUUAAAAGCACAACUCCAAAGGGCACAGCUUGAAAUGGAGCGGGAGGAUGCUAGCAAAGCCACCCCAAUAAACACAAAAUCUUAGUAAAAGCACUAUGUUUACCAGGCAAUGCAACUUCAAAACAAAUUCCUUAGCAACCCCAACCUCUUCAAGCCCGCUUCUAAUCACAUUAUUACUCCUAAGCCUCCUUAUAUACAAAAUCUUAGGCUGGCCAAGCCCAAACACACAGACACAUUAAUAAUGAGCAUCUCUGUCCUUAAAAAAUUUCAAACAUAAAAAACCUCCAAAUGAUAUGUUCCCACUGGAAGAGGCCAAAUUCUUUUCUUGUAGAUUACCCUUUUCUAUUUUUCAUUCCUACCUCCCAUGCAGUAUUCCUAGAUUCUCACACCAUUUGAUCAUUUCUCUAUUUUGAUAUUUAUCUAUAAGAAUUAAUGAUUUUUUUCAAGUCAAAUCUACAAAACCGUGGAUUUGCUUGCCUCUAAGCUAUUUAUCUCAGUGAGUCAGGCCCACUGCUUCCAUUUUUCUGGAUUAGCUUUGAAGAAGAAUCAUCAGCACUUAAUAACCUACCUAAAUCCGACUGAAGAUGCUUUCUUGAUCCUAUCUCUGGUCCUCCUACUUUGGCAGUGGGAAGAGCUACCCUAUAACUCCUCAGAGUCAUGCACAGAGCUGUAAAACCAGCAUGCAGCUGAUUUUGUGCACUUCUCUGAAGGACCCAAGCAGCAGGAUGGGUACCUUUUGUUCACCCACCCAUAGACACCACAGGACACUUUUUGUUCACCUGCUCACUUCUGCAUUGACCAAACUUAAAGAUACAGAUUCAACAGUAUGUAGGGGAAGUUUCCAGUAAAGUAUAUUCUGUUUUCUACAUUGGUUAAAUAUUGUAAUUUCAUGCGGGAACUGGGAGGCUAAGUAGUUGUUACCAUUAAGAAGAGCAACUGUGAUCUUACUUCCAGCCUAUUUUGGAAGGUGGGAUAAAAAAUAUUUGUGCCACAAAUCUCAAAUCUUGUCUCCUAUCUUACAACCUUGAAAUACAUAGUUAAUUCUGCAGGGUCUCAGACAUCCUACUGAGUUGCCAAAUAUUGAACACCAAGCUGGGCUUGUCAACACUCAGGGCUACAAAGAGGAGAUCUCAAAACUACCAUGGCCUCAGGAUUCUGAAUGUGGGUCUGAAAUCCCUACUUCUUACUUUGGAUUAAAAGCUCACCUGAGCUACACACAUCUGUUGUCCUAGAAUGGAUAUUUUUAUUUAGAUAUCAACCAAUUCAACUUCACUCCUUUAUUGAGUCAGUCAAGAAAUCAAUAAAAUUGACUUCAAAAAUUGAAAUCACUUCUUAAUUCUCCUCUGGUUUUCUUCCUACCCUGCCCUUUCUUCUUCACACUCAAUAUAGUUUUACCCAUCUGAAUGAGGAAUAAGUCUGACUUGUCUUUGAAACAUUUGCUUUAUUUCAUAACUGCCACACGCUGGGCCUAAAGUGUAUGUACCUGGAUCUGAAGACAACAAAAUACCUAGAGGAUCUGCUCUGUGGGUGGGACACGGCAGCUAGAGCUGUGGAGGUCAGGCUUGAAUUCCAG
RNAcentral lists this long non-coding RNA (5460 nucleotides) under Homo sapiens (human). RNAcentral describes it as "non-protein coding lnc-PMP2-1:7". Lineage: Eukaryota; Metazoa; Chordata; Mammalia; Primates; Hominidae. The record is from RNAcentral.